Molecule: non-coding RNA, 21 nt
Filed under: Caenorhabditis elegans
Lineage: Eukaryota; Metazoa; Nematoda; Chromadorea; Rhabditida; Rhabditidae
Source: RNAcentral
UAUAAUUUCUCUAAAGACAUC